CAUCUUCGGGGCAGGGUGUAAUUCCCGACCGGCGGUAAAGGAAAUUCAUUUUUCCAAGCCCGCGAGCUUAACAGCUGAUACCGGUGUAAUUCCGGAGCCGACAGUAUAGUCUGGAUGGGAGAAGGUG
This 127-nucleotide non-coding RNA is filed under the name uncultured Sporosarcina sp. Its description in RNAcentral is "FMN riboswitch (RFN element)". It matches the Rfam family "FMN riboswitch aptamer (RFN element)". Rfam says of the family: The RFN element is a highly conserved domain that is found frequently in the 5'-untranslated regions of prokaryotic mRNAs that encode for flavin mononucleotide (FMN) biosynthesis and transport proteins. This element is a metabolite-dependent riboswitch that directly binds FMN in the absence of proteins. Lineage: Bacteria; Bacillati; Bacillota; Bacilli; Caryophanales; Caryophanaceae. The record is from RNAcentral.